UCAUAAAUGUUACUUAAAGUUUGGAUACUGAAUAUUCAGUCAAUGGUAAUGUACCAGUAACUGAAAAUAAUAAUUCCAAAGACACCAUAUUUUUGAAACUAUUAAAGCAGUACGUAGAUGUUUAUAGUAAAAUAUAGGAAAAAUAUAAAUUUUAUCGUUCAUCCGCCAAACAACCUCUUGCAUUUUUAGGAGGCCCCCAAAGUUUCACUUUAUCAACUUAAUCGCUAGAUGCGCCACUCUGUAUAAAAUGUUUUCACAUCAAAAAUAUUUUGCACUCAAUAAUAUUACUCAUAAUUAGAGCAGGGGACUUGUAGCAUUUGUAUAUUUUUUUGUGCACAGUCACAAAAAUAACAGAGUACGAAACAAAUACGUUUUAUGCUUCCACAAAGCUAGUGUUGAAAUUUUAUUGUGCAUAUAAAUGCAUAUUUUGCGUGGCUCAGUACACGGGCUAAAUUAGAAGCCAAAAACUAUGAUGUAAAUAUAAUCAAUAUCACAAUUCUAAACGAAAUUCCAGGCGACACGAUAACGUACCAAUUCAUCGAUUGCGUAUUGAAUCAAGACGAAGUAGUCAAAUAGGUAUCCAACUGAAUUCUUAAAUUCACUAGAUUUGUCAGGUAUGCCAUCGCACGUCCUAACAUUGAAAUUUAACGGGCCCAUAAUUAUUCUACGAAAUAUAAAUUCACCAUGACUCUACAACGGUAUCAGAGUUUCAGUGAAAAAGCUGAUGAACAACAUUAUCGGAGCAACAAUUUUAAACGGAAAAAUUUACUGUUACCACGGAUCCCAAUGAUUUCAAUAUAUAUGAUUUUCAAAUUCAAACGUUUGCAGUUUCCGGUGCGUCUCACCUUUGCAAUAAUCAUCAAUAAAGCACAAGGACAAUUUCUAAAAUUGCUACAAGUGUGUGGACUGAAUUUGGAAAAUCUAUGCUUCUCACAUGCAGGGAUGGCGCGAGGAGGGCCUCGCAAACUCUAGCACCGUCACUGCUCACAUGGACAGCUGUAUGUGGCAUGUUCAAGCGUCGGAAAACCUUCAGAUUUAUUUGCAUACGCACCAGAAGGUAGUACAAAAAAUAUUGUGUAAAAUGCACUUCAAUAAAUAUCAUUCACUUAAA
Sipha flava (yellow sugarcane aphid) is the source of this 1111-nucleotide long non-coding RNA. RefSeq lists it as uncharacterized. NCBI's taxonomy places the organism in Eukaryota, Metazoa, Arthropoda, Insecta, Hemiptera, Aphididae. The transcript has 2 exons. The record is from RefSeq and is a predicted model, not a curated record.